GUUAUUAUUGUUUACGACAUAGUUUCGUGCCAUUUACGGCAAUGUUAACAAUAUCACAACGACAUGCCUAGCAGAAAGAAGAAGGUCGGUUUUUUAUAAACUGUCAGGCAGACACUUACAAGAACAGAGUAGACAACAUUUCUAGACCCGAUUUAGCAACAACUGAUUUUGAUACACCACCUACACUCGAUUUUGAUACGUUUUUUACACCCAAUUUUGAUACUACUUUUACACCCGAUUUUGAUACAUCUUUUACACCAG
This 261-nucleotide long non-coding RNA is filed under the name Mytilus galloprovincialis (Mediterranean mussel). Lineage: Eukaryota; Metazoa; Mollusca; Bivalvia; Mytilida; Mytilidae. The record is from RNAcentral.